UACGGAGGGGGCAAGCGUUGUCCGGAUUUAUUGGGCGUAAAGAGCGUGUAGGCGGUUAGGUAGGUCCGAUGUGAAAACUCGAGGCUCAACCUCGAGACGCCGAUGGAAACCAUCUGACUAGAGUCCGGAAGAGGAGAGUGGAAUUCCUGGUGUAGCGGUGAAAUGCGCAGAUAUCAGGAAGAACACCCGUGGCUAAGGCGGCUCUCUAGUACGUGACUGACGCUGAGACGCGAAAGCGUGGGGAGCAAACAGG
RNAcentral lists this ribosomal RNA (253 nucleotides) under uncultured bacterium. RNAcentral's name for it is "partial 16S ribosomal RNA". It matches the Rfam family "Bacterial small subunit ribosomal RNA", at positions 524 to 776 of the family's 1533-position model. The record is from RNAcentral.